RNAcentral lists this ribosomal RNA (352 nucleotides) under uncultured bacterium. RNAcentral describes it as "bacterial SSU rRNA". It matches the Rfam family "Bacterial small subunit ribosomal RNA", at positions 8 to 350 of the family's 1533-position model. The record is from RNAcentral.
AGAGUUUGAUCAUGGCUCAGGAUGAACGCUAGCGGCAGGCCUAACACAUGCAAGUCGAGGGGCAUCGGGAUUGAAGCUUGCUUCAAUUGCCGGCGACCGGCGCACGGGUGCGUAACGCGUAUGUAACCUACCUAUAACAGGGGCAUAACACUGAGAAAUUGGUACUAAUUCCCCACAAUAUUCGGAGAGGCAUCUCUCCGGGUUGAAAACUCCGGUGGUUAUAGAUGGACAUGCGUUGUAUUAGCUAGUUGGUGAGGUAACGGCUCACCAAGGCAACGAUACAUAGGGGGACUGAGAGGUUAACCCCCCACACUGGUACUGAGACACGGACCAGACCUCCGUACGGGAGGAA